RNAcentral lists this ribosomal RNA (3010 nucleotides) under Salmonella enterica subsp. enterica serovar Derby. RNAcentral describes it as "23S ribosomal RNA". It matches the Rfam family "Bacterial large subunit ribosomal RNA". The record is from RNAcentral. Lineage: Bacteria; Pseudomonadati; Pseudomonadota; Gammaproteobacteria; Enterobacterales; Enterobacteriaceae.
GGGUUGUGAGGUUAAGCGACUAAGCGUACACGGUGGAUGCCCUGGCAGUCAGAGGCGAUGAAGGACGUGCUAAUCUGCGAUAAGCGCCGGUAAGGUGAUAUGAACCGUUAUAACCGGCGAUUUCCGAAUGGGGAAACCCAGUGUGAUUCGUCACACUAUCAUUAACUGAAUCCAUAGGUUAAUGAGGCGAACCGGGGGAACUGAAACAUCUAAGUACCCCGAGGAAAAGAAAUCAACCGAGAUUCCCCCAGUAGCGGCGAGCGAACGGGGAGGAGCCCAGAGCCUGAAUCAGCAUGUGUGUUAGUGGAAGCGUCUGGAAAGGCGCGCGAUACAGGGUGACAGCCCCGUACACAAAAGCGCAUGUGCUGUGAGCUCGAUGAGUAGGGCGGGACACGUGGUAUCCUGUCUGAAUAUGGGGGGACCAUCCUCCAAGGCUAAAUACUCCUGACUGACCGAUAGUGAACCAGUACCGUGAGGGAAAGGCGAAAAGAACCCCGGCGAGGGGAGUGAAAAAGAACCUGAAACCGUGUACGUACAAGCAGUGGGAGCACAGGUUUACCUGUGUGACUGCGUACCUUUUGUAUAAUGGGUCAGCGACUUAUAUUCUGUAGCAAGGUUAACCGUAUAGGGGAGCCGCAGGGAAACCGAGUCUUAACCGGGCGUUAAGUUGCAGGGUAUAGACCCGAAACCCGGUGAUCUAGCCAUGGGCAGGUUGAAGGUUGGGUAACACUAACUGGAGGACCGAACCGACUAAUGUUGAAAAAUUAGCGGAUGACCUGUGGCUGGGGGUGAAAGGCCAAUCAAACCGGGAGAUAGCUGGUUCUCCCCGAAAGCUAUUUAGGUAGCGCCUCGUGAAUUCAUCUCCGGGGGUAGAGCACUGUUUCGGCUAGGGGGCCAUCCCGGCUUACCAACCCGAUGCAAACUGCGAAUACCGGAGAAUGUUAUCACGGGAGACACACGGCGGGUGCUAACGUCCGUCGUGAAGAGGGAAACAACCCAGACCGCCAGCUAAGGUCCCAAAGUCAUGGUUAAGUGGGAAACGAUGUGGGAAGGCCCAGACAGCCAGGAUGUUGGCUUAGAAGCAGCCAUCAUUUAAAGAAAGCGUAAUAGCUCACUGGUCGAGUCGGCCUGCGCGGAAGAUGUAACGGGGCUAAACCAUGCACCGAAGCUGCGGCAGCGAACGUAUCACUUAAAGCGAUUCAGCGGGUUACGAUUGACGGAGCGAAGCGACGUCAAAGCGUAUACAAAGUCGAGUCGGUUUAAGGAUACGUUCGUUGGGUAGGGGAGCGUUCUGUAAGCCUGCGAAGGUGGCCUGUGAGGGUUGCUGGAGGUAUCAGAAGUGCGAAUGCUGACAUAAGUAACGAUAAAGCGGGUGAAAAGCCCGCUCGCCGGAAGACCAAGGGUUCCUGUCCAACGUUAAUCGGGGCAGGGUGAGUCGACCCCUAAGGCGAGGCCGAAAGGCGUAGUCGAUGGGAAACGGGUUAAUAUUCCCGUACUUGGUGUUACUGCGAAGGGGGGACGGAGAAGGCUAUGUUGGCCGGGCGACGGUUGUCCCGGUUUAAGCGUGUAGGUGUGUGUUCCAGGUAAAUCCGGUUCACUUUAACACUGAGGCGUGAUGACGAUGCACUACGGUGCUGAAGCAACAAAUGCCCUGCUUCCAGGAAAAGCCUCUAAGCAUCAGGUAACAUCAAAUCGUACCCCAAACCGACACAGGUGGUCAGGUAGAGAAUACCAAGGCGCUUGAGAGAACUCGGGUGAAGGAACUAGGCAAAAUGGUGCCGUAACUUCGGGAGAAGGCACGCUGACACGUAGGUGAAGUGAUUUACUCACGGAGCUGAAGUCAGUCGAAGAUACCAGCUGGCUGCAACUGUUUAUUAAAAACACAGCACUGUGCAAACACGAAAGUGGACGUAUACGGUGUGACGCCUGCCCGGUGCCGGAAGGUUAAUUGAUGGGGUCAGCGCAAGCGAAGCUCCUGAUCGAAGCCCCGGUAAACGGCGGCCGUAACUAUAACGGUCCUAAGGUAGCGAAAUUCCUUGUCGGGUAAGUUCCGACCUGCACGAAUGGCGUAAUGAUGGCCAGGCUGUCUCCACCCGAGACUCAGUGAAAUUGAACUCGCUGUGAAGAUGCAGUGUACCCGCGGCAAGACGGAAAGACCCCGUGAACCUUUACUAUAGCUUGACACUGAACAUUGAGCCUUGAUGUGUAGGAUAGGUGGGAGGCUUUGAAGUGUGGACGCCAGUCUGCAUGGAGCCGACCUUGAAAUACCACCCUUUAAUGUUUGAUGUUCUAACGUGGACCCGUAAUCCGGGUUGCGGACAGUGUCUGGUGGGUAGUUUGACUGGGGCGGUCUCCUCCUAAAGAGUAACGGAGGAGCACGAAGGUUGGCUAAUCCUGGUCGGACAUCAGGAGGUUAGUGCAAUGGCAUAAGCCAGCUUGACUGCGAGCGUGACGGCGCGAGCAGGUGCGAAAGCAGGUCAUAGUGAUCCGGUGGUUCUGAAUGGAAGGGCCAUCGCUCAACGGAUAAAAGGUACUCCGGGGAUAACAGGCUGAUACCGCCCAAGAGUUCAUAUCGACGGCGGUGUUUGGCACCUCGAUGUCGGCUCAUCACAUCCUGGGGCUGAAGUAGGUCCCAAGGGUAUGGCUGUUCGCCAUUUAAAGUGGUACGCGAGCUGGGUUUAGAACGUCGUGAGACAGUUCGGUCCCUAUCUGCCGUGGGCGCUGGAGAACUGAGGGGGGCUGCUCCUAGUACGAGAGGACCGGAGUGGACGCAUCACUGGUGUUCGGGUUGUCAUGCCAAUGGCACUGCCCGGUAGCUAAAUGCGGAAGAGAUAAGUGCUGAAAGCAUCUAAGCACGAAACUUGCCCCGAGAUGAGUUCUCCCUGAGACUUAGAGUCUCCUGAAGGAACGUUGAAGACGACGACGUUGAUAGGCCGGGUGUGUAAGCGCAGCGAUGCGUUGAGCUAACCGGUACUAAUGAACCGUGAGGCUUAACCUUACAACGCCGAAG